This is a long non-coding RNA of Amphiprion ocellaris (clown anemonefish), 1230 nucleotides long. The record is from Ensembl. NCBI's taxonomy places the organism in Eukaryota, Metazoa, Chordata, Actinopteri, Pomacentridae.
GUGUACAUAUAUAGAUUUUUAUUGAACUUUUGCAUUCAUACUGAAAUUGGAUGUACUGAACAAUGUGUAUGUAUGUUUCACUCAAGUGUGUGUGUGUGUGUGUGUGUGUCUACUUGUAUAAAUAUACAAAUAAACACCCAAUAGAGUAAACCCACCUUAUCAGUUGGUGGUCAUGCAUGCAGGGGCUGCAAAUAACUUAAAAGCCUCAACUGCAUUAACCUUUACUGCCAACUUUGCAAAACGAUAAACUUUAAAGUUGCCAUAUGUUUAACUGUUUUAAAUUUUCAGGAUUCUAACUACAGCUUCCAAUGACAAAAUCAAAAAUUGUACUGACCAGAAAUUUGCCUUUCAGCAUCCAGUUAUAUGUCUUGAAGUUAAUAUCCUGUACUCAAAUUGUAGCUUUUCACCGAGCUGCUGUUUCUAAGCAUUGGUUUAUUAGCUUAUAUAGCAACUAAAAAUGUACAGUGUUUAAUUAUUGUUCAAUAGGAUCUGGAGUAAUAUGUCAGAGUUUAACAGACUUGUUUUAAAAACGAGUCCAACAGAAUUUGAGAUAUUUAGACCACCACAGCUUUGACACACUUUGUCUUAUCAGAUCAAUCACUCUGUAUACGUAACUAUGCUCUUUUAUAGAGUGUAGGCCGGCUCUGGGUUUGUAAUUAUUAGUCAAUUGAAACCACAAUUUGCAAACACUUAUCUUGGCAACAGAUACAUAAUCAAAGCAUGCAGUGCAUUUUCUUGUGUAAACUGUUAAACCAGAAAAGAAAUGCGGCGUGGGUGUUGUGAAAUAGGUGUUCUUUUUAUUCAGAACUGUGAACUUAUGUCAUACAGUUUGAUGUGUUUUAUCCAGUUCUGUUUAGUGCACCGUAGCAAAUAGCCGUGGAUACUCAUGAACAUCGUGUGCCUCAGAUUGUCAGGUUACCAACAGCUGUUAUCCAAACAUUGUAAUGCCAUCAUGUUAAUAUGUAGUUGCAAUCUUAAUCUACCUAUACCACAUUUAGUCCAGAGGUGACAAAUAUGCUAAGUGGCAACUUUGGGGAUGUGUAAAUGUUGAUCUAAUAAUGUUUUAAAAUAAUGACAUUUGGCUGUGUUAUCUUUUAACAGCAUGAUGUACUGUAUAUUUUGUUUUUCAAACUAAUGGACAAACAUGGUGCUCGUUAAAGCCAUGUCCUGCUGCAAAACAUGAAUUGUGCAUGAAUAAAAUAAUGAAAUGCAUUUACGCUGCAUCGUCAG